GAUUUUUAUCCGAAGUAUCCUUUAUGGAUAGUUUGAGUCAGCUUGUGUCUUUCCAAUGGAUGUGUCUUCCUUUGGAAUUCUUCUUUUCCCUGUUUGAGUCCUUCACUUCCCAGUGAGGUCUCUAAUCCAGUCGUGCUUUGUUCACGCCGUGUCAAUUUUACCCUAAUUCAGAGUCGUGUCCUGCUCACGCAUUCUUUUUCUUUUUCUUAUCCCCAU
Molecule: long non-coding RNA, 216 nt
Filed under: Lathyrus oleraceus (garden pea)
Lineage: Eukaryota; Viridiplantae; Streptophyta; Magnoliopsida; Fabales; Fabaceae
Description: Pisum sativum (pea) long non-coding RNA (PSAT_LNC040972)
Source: RNAcentral